Molecule: long non-coding RNA, 1679 nt
Organism: Pygocentrus nattereri (red-bellied piranha)
Lineage: Eukaryota; Metazoa; Chordata; Actinopteri; Characiformes; Serrasalmidae
Source: Ensembl
AUGCCGCCCACAGGACGCCGCCCACAGGACGCCGCCCACAGGACGCCGCCCACAGGACGCCGCCCACAGGACGCCACCCACAGGAUAAUGCCCACAGGACGCUGUUGGCUGGAUAUUUUUGGUUUGGUUGCACUCAGCAGAACGAGCUUCGCUGAGAAGAUCAUUAACUCUGAUCAGCUCUCAGCUUCAUUAUUAGAGCCAGACGGAGGAGGAAAAGGCUUUGGGAUUCGAUCAAAGGAAAAGUCUGUGGGAUCGAGCCUCGCACUGUGGAAGACUUGAAGGAAAACGGCCAACGUGAAGUUGCUGCCGUUCCCCCCGAUAUGCCGGCCGAUGUGUUCAGGAACCGGUUACACACACGUCGAGGUCUGUCCUGCGUUUUUUUGGCUCAGAUUGCUUCGUCCUAACGGGAGUUACAGCGGAAUAUUGGGGGCCUCUUUCAGGUGAAUCUCCCUGUAGUACAGGAACCAGUGGUAUGGACUGUUUUUGAAAAGGGUUUUAUAUUAGCACCAAAAAGAGUGCUGCUUUCGUCCCGAUGUCAAGCUUGUGUGAAAAAGAAGAACUUUUUGGUGACUAGUGGUGCAAACCACAAGUUUCAAGAUGCGACAUUUUAUUUGACUUCUCACUGAGACGCGGUUCGGCUCAGGACGUGGUGAAACGAUGGUGUCAGAGCCGCCUGGGUAGGCUCAGGUUAGUCAUUCUGUUCAGUGGCAGUUAUUUAGCCUUUUUUUCGUGAGGACUCUUAUUUUGGCAGGGCUCUGUGCAGAGGUUAGUAGAGUCAUUGGUGGGAAUGUCAGUGGACAAAGCUGGUAACAGUCAAUAUGGCACCUGCUUAUGAAGAAAGUCCCACCCUUCAGGAUAACGAGCCAAUCACCUUGCUGGAUACACAGCAACCAGAACAACACACAAAGCAGUUUCUGUUACUGAGCCCAACGUUACGAACUACCUGCGAGGUUUCUGAGGUUUUAUCAGAGUAGCCCCGCGAUAGCUGUGUAGACCACCCUGCCUGAGAUUCCCUUUCAACAACACAGACGGACCACGCCUCUCCAUUCUAGAUAAACGUGGUUUCCUCCGAGUCCGCCUGGCUCUCCAUUCUAGAUAAACGCGGUUUCCUCCGAGUCCAUCUGGCUCUUCAUUCUAGAUAAACGCGGUUUCCUCCGAGUCCACCUGGCUCUUCAUUCUAGAUAAACACGGUUUCCUCCGAGUCCGUCUGGCUCUCCAUUUUAGAUAAACGCGGUUUCCUCCGAGUCCAUCUGGCUCUUCAUUCUAGAUAAACGCGGUUUCCUCCGAGUCCAUCUGGCUCUUCAUUCUAGAUAAACACGGUUUCCUCCGAGUCCGUCUGGCUCUCCAUUCUAGAUAAACAUGGUUUCCUCCGAGUCCGUCUGGCUCUCCAUUCUAGAUAAACACGGUUUCCUCCGAGUCCACCUGGCUCUUCAUUCUAGAUCAACGCGGUUUCCUCCGAGUCCACCUGGCUCUUCAUUCUAGAUAAACACGGUUUCCUCCGAGUCCGUCUGGCUCUUCAUUCUAGAUAAACAUGGUUUCCUCCGAGUCCACCUGGCUCUUUAUUCUAGAUAAACGGGGUUUCCUCCAAGUCCAUCUGGCUCUUCAUUCUAGAUAAACACGGUUUCCUCCGAGUCCAUCUGGCUCUUCAUUCUAGAUAAACGCGGUUUCCUCCGAGUCCG